This 512-nucleotide ribosomal RNA is filed under the name uncultured Eubacterium sp. Its description in RNAcentral is "bacterial SSU rRNA". It matches the Rfam family "Bacterial small subunit ribosomal RNA", at positions 32 to 588 of the family's 1533-position model. Lineage: Bacteria; Bacillati; Bacillota; Clostridia; Eubacteriales; Eubacteriaceae. The record is from RNAcentral.
AACGCUGGCGGCAGGCCUAACACAUGCAAGUCGAACGAAUGUAGCAAUACAUGAGUGGCGCACGGGAGAGUAACGCGUGGGAACCUACCUUUUGGUUCGGAAUAACGUCGGGAAACUGACGCUAAUACCGGAUAAGCCCCUCGGGGGAAAGAUUUAUCGCCGAAAGAUGGGCCCGCGUUAGAUUAGCUAGUUGGUGAGGUAACGGCCCACCAAGGCUACGAUCUAUAGCUGGUCUGAGAGGACGAUCAGCCUCACUGGGACUGAGACACGGCCCAGACUCCUACGGGAGGCAGCAGUGGGGAAUAUUGGACAAUGGGGGCAACCCUGAUCCAGCCAUGCCGCGUGAAUGAUGAAGGCCUUCGGGUUGUAAAAUUCUUUUGGUGGGGACGAUGAUGACGGUACCCACAGAAUAAGCUCCGGCUAACUUCGUGCCAGCAGCCGCGGUAAUACGAAGGGGGCUAGCGUUGUUCGGAAUUACUGGGCGUAAAGGGCGCGUAGGCGGCUUGAUAAGU